This 253-nucleotide ribosomal RNA is filed under the name uncultured bacterium. Its description in RNAcentral is "partial 16S ribosomal RNA". It matches the Rfam family "Bacterial small subunit ribosomal RNA", at positions 524 to 776 of the family's 1533-position model. The record is from RNAcentral.
UACGUAGGGGGCAAGCGUUAUCCGGAUUUACUGGGUGUAAAGGGAGCGUAGACGGCCACGCAAGUCUGAAGUGAAAGCCCGCGGCUCAACCGCGGAACCGCUUUGGAAACUGUAUGGCUGGAGUGCUGGAGAGGUAAGCGGAAUUCCUGGUGUAGCGGUGAAAUGCGUAGAUAUCAGGAGGAACACCGGUGGCGAAGGCGGCCAACUGGGCUUUUACUGACGCUGAGGCUCGAAAGUGUGGGUAUCAAACAGG